AGGUAGGAAUCCCCUGUUUUCCUCACCCCAUGUAGGACCCUCCCAAAGACACAUGCUCAGUCACAGAGGAUGAUCUUCCCUGAACAGAGGAGGACCAUUUCUUGGUUAAGGAUAUAGUAGAAGCCACACUCUGCUAGGACCUCCAAACAAGCUCUCAAAAAAUAAGGCAGAGGGCUGGAGAGAUGGCUUAGCAGUUAAGGCAUUUGCCUGCAAAGUCAAAGGAUCCUGGUUUGACUCUCCAG
RNAcentral lists this small RNA (242 nucleotides) under Jaculus jaculus (lesser Egyptian jerboa). Its description in RNAcentral is "7SK RNA (ENSJJAG00000002466.1)". It matches the Rfam family "7SK RNA", at positions 77 to 331 of the family's 331-position model. From Rfam's summary of the family: 7SK was discovered as an abundant small nuclear RNA in the mid-70s but a possible function has only recently been suggested. Two independent studies have found that 7SK RNA binds the CDK9/cyclin T complex (known as elongation factor P-TEFb). P-TEFb activates transcription by phosphorylating the C-terminal domain of RNA polymerase II. Lineage: Eukaryota; Metazoa; Chordata; Mammalia; Rodentia; Dipodidae. The record is from RNAcentral.